AAGCGACUAAGCGUACACGGUGGAUGCCCUGGCAGUCAGAGGCGAUGAAGGGCGUGCUAAUCUGCGAUAAGCGCCGGUAAGGUGAUAUGAACCGUUAUAACCGGCGAUACCCGAAUGGGGAAACCCAGUGUGACUCGUCACACUAUCAUUAACUGAAUCCAUAGGUUAAUGAGGCGAACCGGGGGAACUGAAACAUCUAAGUACCCCGAGGAAAAGAAAUCAACCGAGAUUCCCCCAGUAGCGGCGAGCGAACGGGGAGGAGCCCAGAGCCUGAAUCAGCAUGUGUGUUAGUGGAAGCGUCUGGAAAGGCGCGCGAUACAGGGUGACAGCCCCGUACACAAAAGCGCAUGUGCUGUGAGCUCGAUGAGUAGGGCGGGACACGUGGUAUCCUGUCUGAAUAUGGGGGGACCAUCCUCCAAGGCUAAAUACUCCUGACUGACCGAUAGUGAACCAGUACCGUGAGGGAAAGGCGAAAAGAACCCCGGCGAGGGGAGUGAAAAAGAACCUGAAACCGUGUACGUACAAGCAGUGGGAGCACCCUUUGGGUGUGACUGCGUACCUUUUGUAUAAUGGGUCAGCGACUUAUAUUCUGUAGCAAGGUUAACCGAAUAGGGGAGCCGGAGGGAAACCGAGUCUUAAUUGGGCGUUAAGUUGCAGGGUAUAGACCCGAAACCCGGUGAUCUAGCCAUGGGCAGGUUGAAGGUUGGGUAACACUAACUGGAGGACCGAACCGACUAAUGUUGAAAAAUUAGCGGAUGACCUGUGGCUGGGGGUGAAAGGCCAAUCAAACCGGGAGAUAGCUGGUUCUCCCCGAAAGCUAUUUAGGUAGCGCCUCGUGAAUUCAUCUCCGGGGGUAGAGCACUGUUUCGGCUAGGGGGCCAUCCCGGCUUACCAACCCGAUGCAAACUGCGAAUACCGGAGAAUGUUAUCACGGGAGACACACGGCGGGUGCUAACGUCCGUCGUGAAGAGGGAAACAACCCAGACCGCCAGCUAAGGUCCCAAAGUCAUGGUUAAGUGGGAAACGAUGUGGGAAGGCCCAGACAGCCAGGAUGUUGGCUUAGAAGCAGCCAUCAUUUAAAGAAAGCGUAAUAGCUCACUGGUCGAGUCGGCCUGCGCGGAAGAUGUAACGGGGCUAAACCAUGCACCGAAGCUGCGGCAGCGACGCUUAUGCGUUGUUGGGUAGGGGAGCGUUCUGUAAGCCUGCGAAGGUGGCCUGUGAGGGUUGCUGGAGGUAUCAGAAGUGCGAAUGCUGACAUAAGUAACGAUAAAGCGGGUGAAAAGCCCGCUCGCCGGAAGACCAAGGGUUCCUGUCCAACGUUAAUCGGGGCAGGGUGAGUCGACCCCUAAGGCGAGGCCGAAAGGCGUAGUCGAUGGGAAACGGGUUAAUAUUCCCGUACUUGGUGUUACUGCGAAGGGGGGACGGAGAAGGCUAUGUUGGCCGGGCGACGGUUGUCCCGGUUUAAGCGUGUAGGCUGGUUUUCCAGGCAAAUCCGGAAAAUCAAGGCUGAGGCGUGAUGACGAGGCACUACGGUGCUGAAGCAACAAAUGCCCUGCUUCCAGGAAAAGCCUCUAAGCAUCAGGUAACAUCAAAUCGUACCCCAAACCGACACAGGUGGUCAGGUAGAGAAUACCAAGGCGCUUGAGAGAACUCGGGUGAAGGAACUAGGCAAAAUGGUGCCGUAACUUCGGGAGAAGGCACGCUGACACGUAGGUGAAGUGAUUUACUCACGGAGCUGAAGUCAGUCGAAGAUACCAGCUGGCUGCAACUGUUUAUUAAAAACACAGCACUGUGCAAACACGAAAGUGGACGUAUACGGUGUGACGCCUGCCCGGUGCCGGAAGGUUAAUUGAUGGGGUCAGCGCAAGCGAAGCUCCUGAUCGAAGCCCCGGUAAACGGCGGCCGUAACUAUAACGGUCCUAAGGUAGCGAAAUUCCUUGUCGGGUAAGUUCCGACCUGCACGAAUGGCGUAAUGAUGGCCAGGCUGUCUCCACCCGAGACUCAGUGAAAUUGAACUCGCUGUGAAGAUGCAGUGUACCCGCGGCAAGACGGAAAGACCCCGUGAACCUUUACUAUAGCUUGACACUGAACAUUGAGCCUUGAUGUGUAGGAUAGGUGGGAGGCUUUGAAGUGUGGACGCCAGUCUGC
Molecule: ribosomal RNA, 2148 nt
Filed under: Salmonella enterica subsp. enterica serovar Enteritidis
Lineage: Bacteria; Pseudomonadati; Pseudomonadota; Gammaproteobacteria; Enterobacterales; Enterobacteriaceae
Description: partial 23S ribosomal RNA
Rfam family: Bacterial large subunit ribosomal RNA
Source: RNAcentral